This 481-nucleotide ribosomal RNA is filed under the name uncultured bacterium. RNAcentral describes it as "bacterial SSU rRNA". It matches the Rfam family "Bacterial small subunit ribosomal RNA", at positions 28 to 526 of the family's 1533-position model. The record is from RNAcentral.
GACGAACGCUGGCGGCGUGCCUAACACAUGCAAGUCGAGCGAGAGGAGUUCUUCGGAACGAAUCUAGCGGCGGACGGGUGAGUAACACGUGGGCAACCUGCCUUAUAGAGGGGAAUAGCCUUCCGAAAGGAAGAUUAAUACCGCAUAACAUUGCAUUUUCGCAUGAAGAAGCAAUUAAAGGAGCAAUCCGCUAUAAGAUGGGCCCGCGGCGCAUUAGCUAGUUGGUGAGGUAACGGCUCACCAAGGCGACGAUGCGUAGCCGACCUGAGAGGGAGAUCGGCCACAUUGGGACUGAGACACGGCCCAGACUCCUACGGGAGGCAGCAGUGGGGAAUAUUGCACAAUGGGGGAAACCCUGAUGCAGCAACGCCGCGUGAGUGAUGAAGGUUUUCGGAUCGUAAAACUCUGUCUUUGGGGACGAUAAUGACGGUACCCAAGGAGGAAGCCACGGCUAACUACGUGCCAGCCGCCGCGGUAAAAC